RNAcentral lists this long non-coding RNA (462 nucleotides) under Capsicum annuum. RNAcentral describes it as "long non-coding RNA (CANN_LNC011688)". Lineage: Eukaryota; Viridiplantae; Streptophyta; Magnoliopsida; Solanales; Solanaceae. The record is from RNAcentral.
CACCCCCUCUCUCCAGCACCACCCCCUCCAGCCGUUCCCCCCUCCCCCUCUUUCACAUCUUCUUCUUACUGUCAAACAUACAAACAGAUACACACAUUUCCUUCUUCCUCUAUUUCCAUUACCAAAAACCUCUAUCGCCAUCUCCACAAACCCCUAAUUCUCUUUCCUUCCUCCAUGUCCUAACCCCUUCUCCACCCCCCAUCCCCCACACCUCCCGCACUCGCCGACCCACCCGCAAAAGGCCACAAAAGAAUGGGUUCUCUAAUACCAUUUCAAGACUUGAAUGCACAACCCAUUCAAGGAAGGCACAAUUCUUUUCAUAGUCAAAAGAGCACACACGUUGCUCAUAUACAAAAUCAUAUUAAGUAACCACUGUUGUCGAGCUCAUCACUGCCAAAAUUUGUAUAUAUAGGAAUGUUACCUGAACCCACAAAUUCAAAUCUAAAUUCAAGAAUUAUGCCA